This 850-nucleotide ribosomal RNA is filed under the name uncultured Flavobacteriia bacterium. RNAcentral describes it as "bacterial SSU rRNA". It matches the Rfam family "Bacterial small subunit ribosomal RNA", at positions 56 to 902 of the family's 1533-position model. The record is from RNAcentral. Lineage: Bacteria; Pseudomonadati; Bacteroidota; Flavobacteriia.
UGCAAGUCGAGGGGUAACAUGGGGUAGCAAUACCCUGAUGACGACCGGCAAACGGGUGCGGAACACGUACGCAACCUUCCCAUAACUGGUGAAUAGCCCUCCGAAAGGAGGAUUAAUACACCGUAACAUAACGAUGUGGCAUCAUGUUGUUAUUAUAGGCUUCGGCCGGUUUUGGAUGGGCGUGCGCCUGAUUAGGUAGUUGGCGGGGUAACGGCCCACCAAGCCUACGAUCAGUAACUGGUGUGAGAGCACGACCAGUCACACGGGCACUGAGACACGGGCCCGACUCCUACGGGAGGCAGCAGUAAGGAAUAUUGGUCAAUGGACGAAAGUCUGAACCAGCCAUGCCGCGUGAAGGAUGAAGGCCCUCUGGGUUGUAAACUUCUUUUAUAGGGGACGAAAAAAGCUCAUUCUUGAGCACUUGACGGUACCCUAGGAAUAAGCACCGGCUAACUCCGUGCCAGCAGCCGCGGUAAUACGGAGGGUGCAAGCGUUAUCCGGAUUUACUGGGUUUAAAGGGUGCGUAGGUGGGCAGUUAAGUCAGUGGUGAAAUCUCCGGGCUUAACCCGGAAACUGCCAUUGAUACUAUCUGUCUUGAAUAUCCUGGAGGUGAGCGGAAUAUGUCAUGUAGCGGUGAAAUGCUUAGAUAUGAGAUAGAACACCAAUUGCGAAGGCAGCUCACUACGGGGUCAUUGACACUGAGGCACGAAAGCGUGGGGAUCAAACAGGAUUAGAUACCCUGUAGUCCACGCCCUAAACGAUGGAUACUCGACAUCAGCGAUACACUGUGGUGUCUGAGCGAAAGCAUUAAGUAUCCCACCUGGGAAGUACGAUCGCAAGAUUGAAACUC